GCCGCCGCCGUUCGCGCCGCCAUGGAGGCCGUCCGUCGCCGCCACUUGCACCGCCGUGGAAUCAGCUCAGCCCGCCCAUUUUCCCCACUUGUUCAGCCUUGUAGGGAGCUUAGGAAUCCAAACCCCCGACCUUGAGAUGGAUUCCGACCCCGAGGAGGAAGAGCCGAUGGAGUGGGAGUCUGAUCCCGAGCCACUUACCCUUUUGUUGCUAGUGGCCGUUGACCCUUUUUGAUUUAAGUGCUUAUGCUGUAAAUGGAUAUUGUAUAUCUUCGUUGCUUAUGCAAGUUGUAAUUAUUGUUUGUGUCGCUAU
Molecule: long non-coding RNA, 310 nt
Organism: Syzygium oleosum
Lineage: Eukaryota; Viridiplantae; Streptophyta; Magnoliopsida; Myrtales; Myrtaceae
Exons: 2
Source: RefSeq, a predicted model, not a curated record